AUGAUUUCAUUCUUCCCAAGGGAAGAAGGAGUGCUGCUGUCCACAUGGAGAAUAUGGCACGGCCUUAUUGAGAAUGAUGCCUCCGUAAGCAACACACAGAUCAGUAGCAUUUUACUCCUGAAAGUCACGAAACAUACCCAAUAUUCGUUCAUCAUGGAACUUCGAAUUUCCUUCCGUUGGCCACAAUCACAUGUUAGUAUGCUAACUGCUUGUCAAGAUUUGAAGCAGCAGCUUUGUCAGAUGAAAAGUGACAACAGCACCUUGGUUCAUUUUAAUGGCGUGGUGUGCAACCUGGCCUGGAUUCGAGAACUGCUGGCGCCUCCCGUAAACAGGUUGACUUUGGGCACGUUGGCUAUUUCUUCAUGUUUGACACGGGCAUGGCAACUGUGCUUACCAUACUGGAUUAUUAUAAGGCUCAAGUGAAAUAACAAUAUGUGAAAGAACUGUGAAAAUCUCUCUGUUGAUCUUUUCUCCAACUGGAAAUAUGUUGAUGAAAUUAAUUCAAUGUAUGUGGGAUGGGUUAGAUAAAUAUAUUUAUGUUUCUCGUGGUUUUCAGAGAUUGGUUAGGUGUAGCAUAAAACAGCAGUUGGAACAGCAGUUUUAGAACUGUUCUUAGGGUAGACGGCAAUGAUAUUGUGUGUAUUUACAUAAUGCCUGCAGACCUCCCACCAGGGCUGAACAACUAAGUGUCUUUCAGUUAGGGAUAUCAGCUCAGAACUCAGUGUUUACACACAAUUAUUUAUGCAUGAACUGGGGCUCAUGCUCUCUCCAAAUAGGUAAUGGAAAUAAGCACCUUGAUUUUCCAUGAGAUUGAGCCCUUUAAAAUGCAAGCCUGAUACAGAUAUUCUGCCUACUGUAUGGCAGCAUUGGAGAUGAUUCUGUUAGUUAAUUUUCUAUUACUCAUAAUGUAUGGAUAUUCUGAACGAUUCCAUUAGAGUUUAAAUAACAGAAUUCAGCACAAAUUUAUUUUUACUGAGCAGAAGAAACAUAAUUUCUCUGGAACUGCAGCUGCUGUAGUUGGAGAUGAGGCUCUUACUAUCCCUUAGGGAGAUCACUGUCUCCGCCAGCUGACUUAGUUUUUAUACAGCCGACGAUUUAUUAGAUUGCUUUGCUCUUAAGUGUGAUAAUAGGCCUUAUGCUUAGCAAGGUUUAGAGACUUCCAGUGCAUUAAUAUUUUAUGGCAAUGACAGGCAAGACACAUUUUGUUUACCUAACAAGCCAAGCCAGGCCAGGGCUGAUGUGUAUUGGAGAUUAGCACUUUUAACUUGGGGGAAUCCUGCCAGUUAUAUAUUUAGGGCUUUGCAAUGGCUCUUGGAAUUGUAAUUCAAUCAGUCCUUUAUUUGGUACAAAGCUACUAUGUGCACACAGAUCAUCACAGCCUUAUAGUCUGGCCUUACUAGGAGGCAACUUGACUGUAAACUGA
This 1423-nucleotide long non-coding RNA is filed under the name Oryctolagus cuniculus (rabbit). RNAcentral's name for it is "lncRNA (ENSOCUG00000030036.1)". Lineage: Eukaryota; Metazoa; Chordata; Mammalia; Lagomorpha; Leporidae. The record is from RNAcentral.